RNAcentral lists this long non-coding RNA (717 nucleotides) under Homo sapiens (human). RNAcentral describes it as "non-protein coding lnc-FMOD-3:2". Lineage: Eukaryota; Metazoa; Chordata; Mammalia; Primates; Hominidae. The record is from RNAcentral.
AACCCAAGGAGGCCAGACAGAGGGACGUGGUCACUCUCUGAAAAGUUCAACUUGAGAGUUCUCCAUCAGCAGCUUCUGCACCGUGGUGGACGUCGUGAACUUCUCCAAGCUGCAGGUGCUGCGCCUGGACGGGAACGAGAUCAAGCGCAGCGCCAUGCCUGCCGACGCGCCCCUCUGCCUGCGCCUUGCCAGCCUCAUCGAGAUCUGAGCAGCCCUGGCACCGGAUGCCUCUUCUGUGCCUUAAGCAGAGUCAGGAGACCCCAAGGCAUGUGAGCAUCUGCCCAGCAACCUGUGGAGACAACCCACACUGUGUCUGAGGGUGAAAGGACACCAGGAGUCACUUCUAUACCUCCCUAACCUCACCCCUGGAAAGCCACCAGAUUGGAGGUCACCAGCAUGAUGAUAAUAUUCAUGACCUGAUGUGGGAGGAGACAGCCAACCUCAGGCUUAGAUCAAUGUAUAGGGCUAUAUUUUGGCAGCUGGGUAGCUCUUUGAAGGUGGAUAAGACUUCAGAAGAGGAAAGGCCAGACUUUGCUUACCAUCAGCAUCUGCAAUGGGCCAAACACACCUCAAAUUGGCUGAGUUGAGAAAGCAGCCCCAGUAGUUCCAUUCUUGCCCAGCACUUUCUGCAUUCCAAACAGCAUCCUACCUGGGUUUUUAUCCACAAAGGUAGCGGCCACAUGGUUUUUAAAGUAUGAGAAACACAGUUUGUCCUCU